AGAGAAAGUUAUAGCUGUAAUA
This 22-nucleotide microRNA is filed under the name Picea abies (Norway spruce). Its description in RNAcentral is "pab-miR11425c". The record is from miRBase by way of RNAcentral. Lineage: Eukaryota; Viridiplantae; Streptophyta; Pinopsida; Pinales; Pinaceae.